This 99-nucleotide ribosomal RNA is filed under the name uncultured bacterium. RNAcentral's name for it is "partial 16S ribosomal RNA". It matches the Rfam family "Bacterial small subunit ribosomal RNA", at positions 1384 to 1482 of the family's 1533-position model. The record is from RNAcentral.
UACACACCGCCCGUCACACCACGAAAGUCGGUGGGACCAGAAGACAUUGUGCUAACCGCAAGGGGGUAGAUGUUCAAGGUCUGGUCGAUGAUUGGGGUG